GGCAUCUUUUUUUACUGGCCAACAGCCUCGCCCUCUGAAGCCACCGUAUCAGAGGUUUUCCUCCUUGUGCUGUGUUUUGCAGGGGUUUUCUUAUUAAAGUCAUGGUUGACUGGUGCUCCUAUCUUCGCGGGCGAUUUGGGUUAUUGAAUGUCUCCAGAGCGUAAUGACGUAAGCACGUGCGUAUGCAACGUCACCAACGUGAAGGGUAAACACAGAACCACGAGUUGCAAUCAAGCCGGUGACAAGCUGUGUGCGACUGUUUAUUUCUCGUCCACUCCUUUCAACCGCGCUACUCGAGUCGUCGUUACAGAAACCCACAUUCUCCCGGUGUGUGCUCCGCUUUCCCAACCACGGAAGAAAAACACCUUGUGUAAGUGUGGUUCAGUCUCCUUUUACUUUACUUUGCAUGCCAUGGUUGUUAACGUUAAUGGUUAGAGCUAACUACAUCGGGGAAUGUUGGUAGGGUAGGCUAGAUCUGAGCACUGGGCCGACUGUUCUAGAUUGCUGAAUGCCUGUUAAUGCGAGGUUAAUUUAUUUGUGUGUAGCGUUUUACAAUUUAAUGUAUUUUACAAUUUAAUGGAUACAUCAAAUGUUACCACAUUGCACAGUGAGUUUUGUUAAGCACUACCGAACUUUACUUUGAUUAGCUUUAAACGUGUUAGCCGCUUAAACCAUCAACAUUUAGAUCGUAAUGUUAGCAUAAGAACAAUGUUUAAUUUAAAAAUUAAUAAAUGUAAAUUUUCUCGAUUCCAAUUCAAAAAUAGUAAAAUGAAAAUAAUUCAGGAUUCAAAUUAAAAAAUGUCAAACGAAAUUGCUGAUCUACAAGCUUAAAACGCGUCGACAGUAUAUGCAUUUGAGUAACUGAAUAUUCAUGUGGUUAAUGCAGGUCAAACAAAAAUGACAAAUAUUUGGUGGCCCCCCUGUAGUAACUGUGACGGCCCCUUGGGGUCCCAGACCACUUUAUGAGCCAUAAAUCGGCUCAAAGUUGAUUUAUAUAUCAUACUGUAUAACGGAUACAGCUUUGUUAAAUUAUCUUAAUUUGUUUAUUUUACCCCACAGAGUCAUGUCUCAAACACGAACCCGAAGAGGGGAAAUAAAAGAGAGAAGAAAACAAGAAGAAGACUUUGCCAGUUGAAAUCAACUUGGAGGAGGUGGAGUCAGAUAUCGAAGUUGAAGGGGUUCGAGGCGGUUUUUGUGGAACCAUGGAAAAAUUCAAGUCGGACUUGAACCAGCUAAAGGGAGAGAACCGGUUCCUCAAAGAGGAGAUUUGUCUCUUUAAGGAAGAGAACAGACUACUAAAACAGGAGCGGGAUCUCCGAAAGGAGAAGUCUCGUUCCUCUGAGGCUGGUUUAAAAGGUUCACAGAAAAGGAGUCAUGACCUUGGUGAGUCCUCUGACUCCUCUGAGCCUGAGUCCUCUUUUGAAACAAAGAAGGCUGCCAAGAAGAGAAGAAGGAAGCCAGUGUCGUCAUCAUCAUCAGAUGAGGACUCCCCGAAGAAAAAGCCAAAGAAAGCUUCAUUUGGAAAGCGAGUCAGUAGCCCAGAGGAUGUGGUCCUCUGGAAGAAGUUGGUGAGAAUAUACAAGAGGACCAGGAGCAUCCCAGAAACCUGUAGUGCCUUUGACUUGGACCGCAACACCUUUGCGGGGACUGCAGUCAUCGCAGAUGUCCUCAUUGCCGGAGAGGGUGGGGAUUUUGGAGAGCUGCCCAUAAUUGCUGAAAAACAGAGUUUCACUAGCUUUGCCAAAGUAUGCAAGGCAUUUUUGGAUGCAAACACCACCCUAAAGGAGAAAGUGGAUAAGAUGCGGAAGGCCAAUGAGCUGCUCACCAUCAAAUACAAAUUUCAGAAAUGAGGGGGCCUGGUGAAGCACCAGCCAUGUGAUAUCACAUGAUCAUGUGUCUACUGCAGACCGGUGUGGCCCAUGUGGGUGCUUGCACUAGGUUGGUGUUUUCACUUUUCAGAGACCAAAAAGUGGAAUGCCCACCCAGUGCUUGGGGCCAGACCGGUCUGCAGAAAACACAUGAUGAUGUGAAUUCCCAAGACUGGGACUGUUUACUUAGUAAUUUUUAUUUAUAGUUAUUAUUUAUCACUGUUAUUUUUCUUUUAUUUUUUGAAAAAGAAAUCUAUUCUGAUUCUUAAAAAAAAGUGCCUGACUGUUAAAAAUUUGCACUGUUUUGUAAAUUGUUUUAUAAGAAUUUGAAAUCCAUUGGAUUAAAAUGUUUAUCUUUGGCAGCUCUCUUGUUUUUGCAUAUCUGUCACAGCGAGGUGUUUUGAGUGAGGAAGUGUAAUAAUAAUGCAUUCAUCUUAAUGUAAUUUGAUGGCUGGUGAUGGUGGUUUUUGAUGGAAACUCUUA
Molecule: long non-coding RNA, 2351 nt
Organism: Acanthochromis polyacanthus (spiny chromis)
Lineage: Eukaryota; Metazoa; Chordata; Actinopteri; Pomacentridae
Exons: 4
Source: RefSeq, a predicted model, not a curated record